This 447-nucleotide ribosomal RNA is filed under the name Trametes sp. Its description in RNAcentral is "LSU rRNA". It matches the Rfam family "Eukaryotic large subunit ribosomal RNA", at positions 110 to 558 of the family's 3401-position model. The record is from RNAcentral. Lineage: Eukaryota; Fungi; Basidiomycota; Agaricomycetes; Polyporales; Polyporaceae.
CAAUUUAAAAUCUGGCGGUCUUUGGCCGUCCGAGUUGUAGUCUGGAGAAGUGCUUUCCGCGCUGGACCGUGUACAAGUCUCUUGGAACAGAGCGUCAUAGAGGGUGAGAAUCCCGUCUUUGACAUGGACUACCAGUGCUUUGUGAUGCGCUCUCAAAGAGUCGAGUUGUUUGGGAAUGCAGCUCAAAAUGGGUGGUGAAUUCCAUCUAAAGCUAAAUAUUGGCGAGAGACCGAUAGCGAACAAGUACCGUGAGGGAAAGAUGAAAAGCACUUUGGAAAGAGAGUUAAACAGUACGUGAAAUUGCUGAAAGGGAAACGCUUGAAGUCAGUCGCGUUGUCCGGAACUCAGCCUUGCUUCGGCUUGGUGCAUUUUCCGGGCGACGGGCCAGCAUCGAUUUUGACCGUCGGAAAAGGGCUGAGGGAAUGUGGCACCUUCGGGUGUGUUAUA